UACGGGGGGAGCAAGCGUUGUUCGGAAUCACUGGGCGUAAAGGGUGUGUAGGCGGUCAGGUAAGUGGGAUGUGAAAUGCCCCGGCUCACCCGGGGACCGGCAUCCCAUACUGCUUGGCUUGAGUACGGGAGAGGAUGUGGGAAUUCCUGGUGUAGCGGUGAAAUGCGUAGAUAUCAGGAGGAACACCGGUGGCGAAGGCGCACAUCUGGCCCGAUACUGACGCUGAGGCGCGAAAGCUAGGGGAGCAAACAGG
RNAcentral lists this ribosomal RNA (253 nucleotides) under uncultured bacterium. RNAcentral describes it as "partial 16S ribosomal RNA". It matches the Rfam family "Bacterial small subunit ribosomal RNA", at positions 524 to 776 of the family's 1533-position model. The record is from RNAcentral.